Molecule: ribosomal RNA, 492 nt
Filed under: uncultured bacterium
Lineage: Bacteria
Description: partial 16S ribosomal RNA
Rfam family: Bacterial small subunit ribosomal RNA
Source: RNAcentral
AUUGAACGCUGGCGGCAUGCUUUACACAUGCAAGUCGAACGGUAACAGGCCUUCGGGUGCGGAGGCGUGGCGAACGGGGGAGUAAUGCGCAGGAACGUACCCAGAGGUGGGGGGUAAAGCAGCGAAAGCGGUGCUAAUAUCGCAUGUGAUACGAGGAUGAAAGAGGGGGAGCGAGCAGCAAUGUUUGGCCUCGCGCCUUUGGAGCGGCCGAUGUCGGAUUAGCUAGUUGGUGGGGUAAAGGCCUACCAAGGCGGCGAUCCGUAGCUGGUCUGAGAGGACGACCAGCCACACUGGGACUGAGACACGGCCCAGACUCCUACGGGAGGCAGCAGUGGGGAAUUUUGGACAAUGGGCGCAAGCCUGAUCCAGCAAUGCCGCGUGCGGGAAGAAGGCCUUCGGGUUGUAAACCGCUUUUGGCAGGAAAGAAAUCGUGUCCGCUAAUACCGCGCGCUAAUGACGGUACCGGCAGAAUAAGCACCGGCUAACUACGUG